AACCGAAGCCGGGAGCUAAGAUGGCGGCUGCGGACGGAGAUGACUCGCUUUAUCCUAUUGCUGUGCUGAUCGAUGAGCUCCGAAACGAGGACGUUCAGCUUCGUCUGAACAGCAUCAAGAAGCUUUCCACCAUUGCACUGGCCCUGGGUGUUGAAAGGACGCGCAGUGAGCUCUUGCCUUUUCUCACAGACACUAUUUACGAUGAAGAUGAGGUGCUACUCGCUCUGGCAGAACAGCUGGGGACAUUUACAGCUCUUGUUGGCGGGCCUGAAUAUGUUCACUGUUUGUUGCCCCCGCUGGAGAGCCUUGCUACAGUUGAGGAGACAGUGGUGCGGGACAAGGCAGUGGAGUCCCUCCGAGCCAUCUCUCACGAGCACUCUCCGUCUGACCUCGAGGCCCACUUUGUGCCCCUGGUGAAGCGCCUGGCAGGAGGCGACUGGUUCACCUCCCGCACCUCUGCUUGUGGCCUCUUCAGUGUCUGCUACCCCAGAGUCUCCAGUUUGGUCAAAGCUGAGCUCCGACAAUACUUCCGGAACUUGUGCUCAGAUGAUACUCCAAUGGUGAGGCGAGCUGCAGCCUCCAAACUGGGUGAAUUUGCCAAGGUCUUGGAGCUGGAGCACGUCAAGAGUGAGAUCAUUCCCAUGUUCUCCAACUUGGCCUCUGAUGAGCAGGAUUCUGUGCGCUUGUUGGCCGUAGAAGCCUGUGUCAAUAUUGCUCAGCUCCUGCCCCAGGAGGACCUGGAGUCCUUGGUGAUGCCAACGCUUCGGCAAGCAGCAGAGGACAAGUCUUGGCGGGUCCGUUACAUGGUGGCUGACAAGUUCACAGAGCUCCAGAAAGCUGUUGGAGCAGAAAUUACCAAGACUGACUUGGUUCCAGCCUUCCAGAACCUUAUGAAAGACUGUGAAGCCGAAGUGCGGGCUGCUGCUUCUCACAAGGUCAAAGAAUUCUGUGAGAACCUGUCUGGUGAUUGCCGUGAAAAUGUCAUCAUGACUCAGAUCUUGCCCUGCAUCAAGGAACUGGUAUCGGAUGCCAAUCAGCAUGUAAAAUCAGCACUGGCAUCUGUGAUCAUGGGAUUGUCUCCCAUUUUGGGCAAGGACAACACGAUCGAGCACCUUCUGCCUCUCUUUCUGGCACAGCUCAAGGAUGAGUGUCCUGAAGUCCGGCUCAAUAUAAUCUCCAACCUGGACUGCGUGAAUGAGGUGAUCGGCAUUCGGCAGUUGUCCCAGUCCCUGCUGCCGGCCAUUGUGGAGCUGGCAGAGGAUGCCAAGUGGCGGGUGCGGUUAGCCAUCAUUGAAUACAUGCCCCUUUUAGCUGGGCAGUUGGGGGUGGAAUUCUUUGAUGAGAAGCUGAAUUCCCUCUGCAUGGCAUGGCUGGUUGAUCACGUCUACGCCAUCCGAGAGGCAGCGACCAGCAACCUCAAGAAGCUUGUGGAAAAGUUUGGCAAGGACUGGGCCCAUGCCACGAUCAUCCCCAAGGUGCUGGCCAUGUCCAAUGACCCCAACUACCUGCACCGCAUGACCACACUCUUCUGCAUCAAUGUGCUGUCAGAGGUGUGCGGGCAGGAGAUCACCACCAAGCACAUGCUUCCCACUGUGCUGCGGAUGGCAGGGGAUGCGGUCGCCAACGUCCGCUUCAAUGUCGCCAAGUCCCUUCAGAAAAUUGGACCAAUCUUGGAUAACAGCACCCUUCAGAAUGAGGUGAAGCCAGUGCUGGAGAAGCUAACACAGGAUCCUGAUGUGGACGUCAAAUACUUUGCCCAGGAGGCACUAACUGGAGAGGAACACUGCCAGGCCUUUGCUCAACUGGCCAGGAAGAACAGGGCUGGUCCCCUCAUACUGGAGAUGUGGGAGCGUGCUCUCGUCGCUGUGAGAGACAUGGCCGGCAGUGAGGGUGAAGGACCCUCAACUUCAACAGAGGCCACAAGAAAGCGUCCAUCAGCCAAUGCUCCAAGCAAGCCGAAGCCAACGUCAACAGCUUCAAAGCCGUCGGCUGCCUCAGACAUGCCUAAAAAGCACAGAGAAAAACGAAAGCACCUCGAAUCAGAGGGCCAUAAAGAGGCUAAAAAGAUUUGUAAUCCUAAACAUAUGAAGAGAGCGGAACAUUGCUUUCCUGCCUCUUCCCAGCGUCGCGGCUCACCAACCCAUGCAGCCGCUCCAGCCGACUUAUCCAGCUCAGGCAUGCUACCAGCCCGAGCCUCUCCAUCCCGUCCCCCAGCCAAUCCAGCUCAAUUGGACCACAGCAGGGUCCAUCCUGAACUGGCAGGACGGACACUGUUCACCAAAGGGAAGAUACACAACUCACCAGUUCAGUCUCCAGCCAUUCCGACCUCCCCUCCGAGAUUGCUUUGUGCACCACACCAUGAAGUGAUUACUGAACUGGUCCCCUGGACACCUCAUUCAUUUGGUUCUGCUUUGGCCAACCUGUCACCAAUAUCCAUUCACCAUUCUGUCUGUGAAUUCGAACCGAUGGCACAAUCGUAUAGGGGGAACCAGUACUGGGGUGCAUACCCCUCCCAAGGAUGUUACUUUCCGGGUUAUCCAUGGGAACGUGCUGCAGUCCCACACAAAUACUCGUGGCCACCAGCUCCACCUAGAUCUGUGGAAUGCUGGUCCCCACCACGUCCACCCCACCAACCCGAUCACGAGCCGGGCACUUCUCAGACCCCUCAACGAACCAGUGAACAACAUCCUGCAGGUGUCCAAAGAUCACCUUCUCUGUCAUCCGGAUCUGCCUCAUCAAACCCGAAGGAUUACAACUCAGAUGCAGAAUCCACAGAACCCAUCUCCACAUCCCCAGACAACAUCAUCUCACAAGGCCUGGGAUCCCCAGGGGAAAGCCUCGGACACUUCUCUGAGCAAGUCCUCCGGAUGGCCACAUCCUUGGGCAUCCAGGUUGAGCAAAUUGUGAAGCCUAGUGAAGACUGCAUUUAUGACCUGAUCCAGGCAGAGGACUCGUGUGCGGUAGCAAUACCCUUAAUACCAACACUGGCCAAGGCAAUGAAAGUACCCUGGGAGUUUCCCAACCAGCCGCGUCCCACCUCCCGCCGACUGGAAAGGCUGUACCGGGUACAGGAGAGAGACGUUCCUUACCUUGUGUACCAUCCACGCCCAAAUUCCAUCAUUGCCAAACUUGCACAAGGAAGGCCACACAGGGAACGCUCAGCACCAGCCAACAGAGAGGAUCGUCGCUUGGACGUGAUGGCACGACGGAUAUACACUGCGAUGGGCUUGGGCCUCCGCAUCUCAAAUUAUGAAGCCAUGAUGGGGAGAUACCAGUUAUUCUUGUGGCAGAAGCUGGAGGCUCUGGCAGCUUUUCUACCAGACCAACAACGAGAGCUCGCCAGAGCCUUCGUUGCUGAAGGCAUUCAGCUCUCAAAGCAACAAAUCUCAACGGCACGCCAUCACGUCGACUGUGAUUCGAGAGCCUUGGUUGGUGCGAUCACGAUUCGACGACAUGCGUGGCUUCGGGCGGCUAACCUCCCUCAAGAGACCUGCUCCCGGAUCGAGAGUAUGGCAUUUGAUGGAAAAGGGCUCUUUCACAGCCGCACAGACAAAAGGCUGGUCACCCUCCAGAAGGCAAGAGCUCGGCGGAUGGGCAUCAACCCACUUCAGCCAAGGGCACUUAAGUGGCCCUGGGCCCGAUCCUCCCGGUACCAGCCCUCCCACUCCAGACAAGGUCUGUACCCCAGCCAUCCUCAGUAUGGACAGCCACCACAAAACCGCCAACGCCGUCGGAAUGGUGCCCAACCGCAGCCAUGCAGGAAACGACUUGAUGCCCAUAGAAGACCGCGCUGAUGGGCAGAGCGCACCAGUCCCUUCACCAACGCAUCACCUCCAUUUACAGACUGCCUACGUCACCAUCUUCCCACCUGGGAAUCCACCACAUCCAACUGGUGGGUACUUUCCAUAGUAUACCAUGGAUGCAAAAUCAAAUGUGAGACCUUGCCUCUUCUCGGAUCAGUCUGCGCUCUUCCCCCUCCAACCCUAAUGGAGGAUGUCAGCAAUUUACUAGCAAAGGGUGCAACCGAUCCAAAGCUGAGCAUGGUUUCUAGUCACACUCUUUCACCAUUCCGGAAAAAAACAGUCAGCAACCCAUUUUGGACCUGCAGGGAGUAAACCAUUUCAUCCCACUCAAAGUUCCAGAUGGCCUCCCUGCAAGCCACUAUGCGUCAUUACGAAAAGGGGACUGGUUCACAUCCAUCAAACUUACUUCCACACCAGCAUCCAUCCUGACUACACCCACUUUCGAUAGUUCUAGAUCAGUUCGAGGUGCUGCUGUGGAGCAUAUCUACGGCACCGAGAGUAUUCCCUAAAUGCGUGGCCUAAGUCUGUGCACAUACGCGACUCCAAGGAAUACACGUUUGACCCCACUUAGAGGACUGGUCGCUAGUAGCCAAUACUGAACGGGACUUACUGUGGUCAAUCAAAACCACCCACACAACUCUUCACCGCUUGGGUCUGUGCAUCAACAUCGGAAAAACCACGCUUGCUUCUUCAGAGACCAUCCUGUACAUUGGAGUGGUCCUUGAUUCCAUGUUGGCUCAAGUGUACCUACCCCUGCAGAAGUUCAUGAAUGCAGCCUCCAACCUGAGAUCCUCUGCUCAGAAAAUUCAACAGCUACAAGGGCACAUGGUAUCGACCAUCACUAUGGUGCAUUAUGCCAGGCUGCGAAUGAGUCCGCCCAGCUCUGGUUCACGAGGGCAUUCCAGCCUGAGCACAACUUGCCACAAAGAACCCUAACCCUGCCCCUCCACAUAAGGGCAAGCCUUGCCUGCUGAAUGCGUAAGUCGAAUCCGAUAAAGAGACUUCAGCUUCUUUCCUCAGAACUGAUAGUGACUCUCACCACUGACGCAUCCCUCACCGGCCGGGGUGCCUUGACUGACACUACUCAUAUGGGACUGGUGUAUCCGCCACGACAUCACUCUUGUGGCCAUCCAUAUGGCAGAGAUACACAAUUUCACUGCAGACGUACUCAGUCACACUCGAUUCCACGUCCACGAAUGGGAACGCAGCAUGGAGCCCCGAAGCAAGAACGAUCUUUGGUGCAUGGGGCACCUCAUCUGCAGAACUUUUGCACAGAGAAGAACGCUACAUGCAGCAACUACUGCUCCAUCCAGCGCUGGAAUCGGCAAGAACUCCACGGGAGAGGCCUUCCUCAUUCCACGGACAGGGACCGUCUUUUUUCUGCCUUUCCCCUCAUCACAAAGACUUACGAAAACGAGGGAAGGAGCACACUUGAGCCAUCCUAGUAAUGCCACGGUGGCCCAGACAACCCUGGUUUCCAUCCCUGCUCCACCUCUCCAACUGCAGCUUCCUACAUCUACCCUCCAUUCCAACUUACUGUCCCAAGAGCAGGGGAAGUGUUGGCGCUGGCUUGAACCCUGGGACCUGGCUCUAUUGCUCCUUCAAGUUGGAUGCCAUGGGACCGAACCUUCCCUCCCCCUUUUCCCUGCAUGUGUAUGAUCAGUCCACCACCCCCACCCCCACCCCCAGAUACACAUGGCGUACCAGCCAGUUGCUGAUUCUAACCCCCUUUGGAGUCCAGCUCCUACUCUUAGUUCCAUCUUUUCAGACCUUCUUGGGCAGCUGUGAUAUUCUCUCCCUUCCCCAUCUUAGAGUUUCUGUUUUUGUUUUGUUCUUUCACCAGGGGGCAGCCUCGAGUUCUGUGCCCUGAUGUAGGCAUGCAAGAGAGGCAGAGCAGGCCCUUAAACGCCGUGCUUGGCGUGGUUAAUGUGAGCACUUUGGGGUGAAAAGAGGAGUCAUGCUCUUUGGGGGUCCUUUAUAAUGUAUUCACCACAGUUUGCAUGGGAAUGUCCCUGCAGUGCUGUAUGUAGCAGUGCAUGAGGUAUCGAUUUGGCCUUUCUCCUGAUGAUCUUGGCUCGGCUUGCAGCCUGACAGCUCUUGCAGCUUUCCCAUCUGAAGAAUUAAAAAGACCCUACUGUUCUCUUGAGUGUUUAACACCAGUGGAUCAGAGAGAGCAUCAGACACAAAAUAAGCUGGGAGCCUGGGGGCUACUUACUUCUCCUUUGCUUGAAAUAGAAUGGAGCAGGCCUUCUCCAUCUCCCACCUUCUCCCCCUCCCCCCCGCGCACACGCGCGCGCGCGCGCGCGCGCGCACACACACACACACACACAGAGAACAUGAGGAGGUCUAGUUAAACCCUUUAUUAAAAUCUACUGUUGGUUAGGACUUAUUUCCUUUCAAGUUUCUUAGUGUCUCAUGCACCCCCUUUCCAGAUGGCAGCCCCCUCUGCUGGAAGUAGCUAGCUCUGUGGUAUGGCCCCUGUAGUGAGCAAGUGUUGAAGAAAACCCAGCCUGGGAUGGGGGAUAUAUAAGCUGGCACUGGGCUGCUCUCUAGCAUUGGGCUAUACCUCUGGCCUCAAGCUAGUUAUGCACUCCUGUUGUCUUAGCCAAAAACUCAUUCUUCGUCAGUUUAGCGAUGCAAGCAGGUGGAGGGGUGCUUUGUGAAAGGGGCAUCUAUAGGGAGGAAUGUAAGGCAAAUCAGAGGAUGUUUGGACUAUGCAUUGAUAUGUUAACUGAUUGAAAUUCCCACUUUCUAUCAUGUGAUUGGAAAAGAACCAACCCCAUUUCCUCCUUUCUUCCACCCAACCUUUGCUUCAUGUAAUCUCCUGAUCCCACUGUUUUUAUGUCCCCUGCUUCUGCCUCUGGUCCUUGCACUGGACUAGUAAACUCUGUGUGUGCUCCAACCACACACCCUCAUUAUCUGUUAAUGGCAUGCCAUUUUAAAAUGGUUGGAUUGUUUUUGUGAGUACACUUGUUUUCCCCCUUCCUCUCUAUGAUUAAUAAAAUGCUCAACCGUUA
Molecule: RNA transcript, 6820 nt
Organism: Varanus komodoensis (Komodo dragon)
Lineage: Eukaryota; Metazoa; Chordata; Lepidosauria; Squamata; Varanidae
Gene: PPP2R1A
Gene name: protein phosphatase 2 scaffold subunit Aalpha
Exons: 16
Source: RefSeq, a predicted model, not a curated record